RNAcentral lists this ribosomal RNA (2886 nucleotides) under Vibrio parahaemolyticus VP2007-095. Its description in RNAcentral is "bacterial LSU rRNA". It matches the Rfam family "Bacterial large subunit ribosomal RNA". Lineage: Bacteria; Pseudomonadati; Pseudomonadota; Gammaproteobacteria; Vibrionales; Vibrionaceae. The record is from RNAcentral.
UAAGUGACUAAGCGUACACGGUGGAUGCCUUGGCAGUCAGAGGCGAUGAAAGACGUAGUAACUUGCGAUAAGCCCAGAUUAGGUAGUAACAACCAUUUGAGUCUGGGAUUUCUGAAUGGGGAAACCCACUUACAUAAGUAAGUAUCAUUAACUGAAUACAUAGGUUAAUGAGGCGAACCGGGGGAACUGAAACAUCUAAGUACCCCGAGGAAAAGAAAUCAACCGAGAUUCCGAAAGUAGCGGCGAGCGAAAUUGGACUAGCCCUUAAGCUUUACACGCGUUAGACGAACGGUCUGGAAAGUCCGACGAUACAGGGUGAUAGUCCCGUAGUUGACGACGUGUGUUCAGUGAAAUCGAGUAGGGCGGGACACGUGAUAUCCUGUCUGAAUAUGGGGGGACCAUCCUCCAAGGCUAAAUACUACUGACUGACCGAUAGUGAACCAGUACCGUGAGGGAAAGGCGAAAAGAACCCCUGUGAGGGGAGUGAAAUAGAACCUGAAACCGUGUACGUACAAGCAGUAGGAGCAGGCUUGUCCUGUGACUGCGUACCUUUUGUAUAAUGGGUCAGCGACUUAUAUUCAGUGGCAAGGUUAACCAUCUAGGGGAGCCGUAGGGAAACCGAGUCUUAACUGGGCGUUCAGUCUCUGGAUAUAGACCCGAAACCAGGUGAUCUAGCCAUGGGCAGGUUGAAGGUUGAGUAACAUCAACUGGAGGACCGAACCGACUAAUGUUGAAAAAUUAGCGGAUGACUUGUGGCUAGGGGUGAAAGGCCAAUCAAACCUGGAGAUAGCUGGUUCUCCCCGAAAGCUAUUUAGGUAGCGCCUCGGACGAAUACUACUGGGGGUAGAGCACUGUUAAGGCUAGGGGGUCAUCCCGACUUACCAACCCUUUGCAAACUCCGAAUACCAGUAAGUACUAUCCGGGAGACACACGGCGGGUGCUAACGUCCGUCGUGGAGAGGGAAACAACCCAGACCGCCAGCUAAGGUCCCAAAUUACUACUAAGUGGGAAACGAUGUGGGAAGGCUCAGACAGCCAGGAUGUUGGCUUAGAAGCAGCCAUCAUUUAAAGAAAGCGUAAUAGCUCACUGGUCGAGUCGGCCUGCGCGGAAGAUGUAACGGGGCUAAGUAGUAAACCGAAGCUGCGGCAAUAUACUUUUGUAUAUUGGGUAGGGGAGCGUUCUGUAAGCGGUUGAAGGUGUGUGGUAACGCAUGCUGGACGUAUCAGAAGUGCGAAUGCUGACAUGAGUAACGAUAAAGGGGGUGAAAAACCUCCUCGCCGGAAGACCAAGGGUUCCUGUCCAACGUUAAUCGGGGCAGGGUAAGUCGACCCCUAAGGCGAGGCCGAAAGGCGUAGUCGAUGGGAAACGGGUUAAUAUUCCCGUACUUCUUACAAUUGCGAUGGGGGGACGGAGAAGGCUAGGUGGGCCUGGCGACGGUUGUCCAGGUUCAAGUGCGUAGGCUUAAGAGUUAGGUAAAUCCGGCUCUUUUUAAGGCUGAGACACGACGUCGAGCUACUACGGUAGUGAAGUCAUUGAUGCCAUGCUUCCAGGAAAAGCCUCUAAGCUUCAGAUUGUAAGGAAUCGUACCCCAAACCGACACAGGUGGUCGGGUAGAGAAUACCAAGGCGCUUGAGAGAACUCGGGUGAAGGAACUAGGCAAAAUGGUACCGUAACUUCGGGAGAAGGUACGCUCUCGACGGUGAAGUCCCUCGCGGAUGGAGCUAUUGAGAGUCGCAGAUACCAGGUGGCUGCAACUGUUUAUUAAAAACACAGCACUGUGCAAAAUCGUAAGAUGACGUAUACGGUGUGACGCCUGCCCGGUGCCGGAAGGUUAAUUGAUGGGGUUAGACUUCGGUCGAAGCUCUUGAUCGAAGCCCCGGUAAACGGCGGCCGUAACUAUAACGGUCCUAAGGUAGCGAAAUUCCUUGUCGGGUAAGUUCCGACCUGCACGAAUGGCGUAAUGAUGGCCACGCUGUCUCCACCCGAGACUCAGUGAAAUUGAAAUCGCUGUGAAGAUGCAGUGUACCCGCGGCUAGACGGAAAGACCCCGUGAACCUUUACUACAGCUUGGCACUGAACAUUGACCCUACAUGUGUAGGAUAGGUGGGAGGCUUUGAAGCACGUACGCCAGUAUGUGUGGAGCCGUCCUUGAAAUACCACCCUUGUAGUGUUGAUGUUCUAACGUCGACCCCUUAUCGGGGUUGCGGACAGUGCCUGGUGGGUAGUUUGACUGGGGCGGUCUCCUCCCAAAGAGUAACGGAGGAGCACGAAGGUGGGCUAAUCACGGUUGGACAUCGUGAGGUUAGUGCAAUGGCAUAAGCCCGCUUGACUGCGAGAAUGACAAUUCGAGCAGGUGCGAAAGCAGGUCAUAGUGAUCCGGUGGUUCUGAAUGGAAGGGCCAUCGCUCAACGGAUAAAAGGUACUCCGGGGAUAACAGGCUGAUACCGCCCAAGAGUUCAUAUCGACGGCGGUGUUUGGCACCUCGAUGUCGGCUCAUCACAUCCUGGGGCUGAAGUCGGUCCCAAGGGUAUGGCUGUUCGCCAUUUAAAGUGGUACGCGAGCUGGGUUUAGAACGUCGUGAGACAGUUCGGUCCCUAUCUGCCGUGGGCGUUGGAAGAUUGAAGGGGGCUGCUCCUAGUACGAGAGGACCGGAGUGGACGAACCUCUGGUGUUCGGGUUGUGUCGCCAGACGCAUUGCCCGGUAGCUAAGUUCGGAAUCGAUAACCGCUGAAAGCAUCUAAGCGGGAAGCGAGCCCUGAGAUGAGUCUUCCCUGAUACUUUAAGUAUCCUAAAGGGUUGUCGGAGACUACGACGUUGAUAGGUCAGGUGUGUAAGUGCUGUGAGGCAUUGAGCUAACUGAUACUAAUUGCCCGUGAGGCUUAACCA